This 460-nucleotide ribosomal RNA is filed under the name uncultured bacterium. RNAcentral's name for it is "partial 16S ribosomal RNA". It matches the Rfam family "Bacterial small subunit ribosomal RNA", at positions 338 to 795 of the family's 1533-position model. The record is from RNAcentral.
CCUACGGGUGGCAGCAGUGAGGAAUAUUGGUCAAUGGACGCAAGUCUGAACCAGCCAUGCCGCGUGCAGGAUGACGGCUCUAUGAGUUGUAAACUGCUUUUGUACGAGGGUAAACCCCGAUACGUGUAUCGGGUUGAAAGUAUCGUACGAAUAAGGAUCGGCUAACUCCGUGCCAGCAGCCGCGGUAAUACGGAGGAUCCGAGCGUUAUCCGGAUUUAUUGGGCUUAAAGGGUGCGUAGGCGGUUUGAUAAGUUAGAGGUGAAAUGUCGGGGCUCAACCCCGAAACUGCCUCUAAUACUUUUGGACUAGAGAAUAGUUGCGGUAGGCGGAAUGUAUGGUGUAGCGGUGAAAUGCUUAGAGAUCAUACAGAACACCGAUUGCGAAGGCAGCGUACCGGCGCCAGACUGACGCUGAGGCACGAAAGCGUGGGGAUCGAACAGGAUUAGAUACCCGAGUAGUC